GAGUGAUCAGCUGCUAGAGGUGGUUGGAUUAGAAGGAGCCAUGGAGAUGGGGCAAAUAUACACAGGACUGAAAAGUGCUGGGAGGCGGCUAGCUCAAUGCUCCUCGGUGGUCAUCAGGACUAGCAAGUCUCUACCAAUGCAGAUUGAUGGGGAACCAUGGAUGCAGACCCCAUGUACAAUAAAAAUUACACACAAGAACCAAGCCCCAAUGCUGAUGGGCCCUCCUCCAAAAACUGGGUUGUUCUGCUCCCUCGUCAAAAGAACAAGAAACCGAAGCAAGGAAUAAUCCUGUAUCAUUUCAUUCUUAGAGAUCUAAUUAGCAUAAUUGGGCCAUGGAACACUUAUGCUGGAAAUCUUUGAAUCAUUUCAAGUCUCCUGCUCAUGCAAAAUUAUGGAAUUGGUUUAACAGUUUUUGUUACUGAGUUAAUGUAAAAUUCAUCUAUUAGCAAAUUUAUUGUCUCAGUUUUUAUAGGCAUCUUUGCAUGAAGAAAGCAGAAGUUUACAUGAAGUGAUACUGCAUAUUUUUGUUGCAUGCAUUCCCAUAGAUUUUUAUGUCUCCCACCCAUUCCUCUCCCAAUUUCCAUUUCUCACUUGUGAAAAAAAAACCUAUGAAACAUAAAAAAAGGAAAUAUCAUGGGAAAUGUGAUUCUCAGUGUGAUGCCAUUAUCGAUAAGCACUAAUCAGUAAUGCUGCAAUGAUCAUAAUCGCAGAUUGCUAUGCUUUUCCCUUAGAAUCAGUGUAUCAAUAGUCUUUGACUUAUGACUUGCGGAGAAGCUUUUAAUUGAAAGAAUUUAUUAGAUAGUUGUAUAUGAUACCUUACUGUAUCUAAAUAGUUUUUAUUGGACACCUUAGUGCUUCUGAGUGGAAUUUAAAUAUCAGGUAUAAAAUUUUCUUGUGCUGAAAAAUAGAAAGUGGUUUUUGUUUUGUUUAGUUUUGUUUUAAUUUCAGAAAUAAGUGAAAACAUGUUACUUGGCAGUAAAGUGUGGUCAUAUGACAAGCCUUAUUCCUUUCUGCACGUGAAUCUAGAAAAAUAUUCAUAACCACACCAGUAACCAAAUAGAUGUUUUAAACUAUGUGCCUAAUAAACUGUGUUUCCCACCAAAGAUUCAGAAAAAAAGACACCUGAGAGAAAUGUUUUAAUGCAUAGUUAAUUGUGGAGAAAAUGUAUGGCUCUUCUGAUUAAUUUUGUGAUUACUAAAACUCUGGAUAGAGUGAAUUACCCAUUAAUUAUAAUUAAAAGUCUCACUUUUCAUAGACAAUAGGCCAUACACAUUUAAAGUUCAAUAUUACUAACCUAACAGAGGUUGUAUAUAAAAAGCUGAUUUCUUGCUUUUUUGGGUCAUUUUUAAAAUAAGUAUCUGUAAUUUUUAAUGGACCAGUUAAGUACACUUGAGAAAGUAAAUGACUGUAUCUGUUCCUUUCCAAUAUGAAUUGAUACCUGUAAUAAUAUUGAGCUCAUUGAAAGCAAAGCAUGCAUGUAAUUAGUCCCAUCACCUACUCCACUCCCAUGUCUAUGACAUUUCAAAUAUUUAUUUGGAUAUAAUUCCCUAGAUCAUUGUGUAAGGUGCUCAUGGCAUGGUUGGACUCUGUUUAAAGAAAUUACGGAAUAGUACUUUUCUUAGUGUUUCACUUAACUUAUGACAUAAAAUGAAAUGCUAUUUUGAGCAGUUUUGGUAUUGUUCGUUCAUAUUGACCUGCAUCUCAUCAUUGCAUGUUUUAUGUUUUCAAACAUGCCAUAAGGAAAACAAGUGCUUGAAAUGCAUGAUUUAUUAGUUUCUCUCUCCACGCUGCAUUAAAGUACUAAUGAUUUAUCAGUUCUUUUUUUUAUUGAUUCAUUCAUCUUUGAAUAACAAAUAGCAUUUAGUGAUUCUGUUGAACACAAUCCUGUGCAUGGAUUUAUGGGUUUCAAGUGAAAUUGCUGUAAUUUUUGUUCUUUGGUUUGAAAACUCAACUGAAUGCUGUUACAUCAAAUAGCUACUCUCAAGCAAUGUGCUAUAAUGGAAGAUUAUGUGUAAAGCUUAUUCCUUUAGUGUUCCAGGAAUAUUGGAUGGUAAAAAUUAAUCAACAAUAAGCUUAAUUGCUUUGAAAAUAAAAGCUUUUGAAUAAAACUAAGACGUAAUUUAACAUUCCCAGGAAAAUUAUUAUUACAACUGCAAAUGUACCACAGCAUUCACUUGCCUGAGUAUAAUUUUUAAAAAAUGGUAUUUGGCAGAACUGUAAUCUAGACCAAAAGAAAUCUCAAAACAAUAACAAAUGCAUUACUGAUAGAAAGUUACAUAACACACUUUUAUUUUGUGUAUCUGUGGUUAUAGGUAAUAUUAUCCUCACAUAAACUGACAAAAUUUUAUACAAUGGGCAGGCAGGCAUUGUGUCAAAAACAUAUUCUGAAUUCCACAAAUUAUUUUAUGUUCGGUACAACAUACAGUUAGUUCUUGGCUACCUUUUAGAGUAUAUAGUCUGAAGGCAGCAACAGUUUGUGAAUCAUUCUUAACAAUCUGUGCAGUGGAAAGCUGUUGAAUAGACGGUGGGAUGAAACAAAUUAAACAACCUGCCUAUAAGACUUCAAUAAUUGAAAUAAUGGGAUGCAGCUUUACUUCAAUGUAGCUUUGUAACUAUAAUUAUAUAAGUAGUUACGUUUUCAGUCCAUUGGAGUUAUUGAUGCCAAUAAUAAAUGUUCAAAUAUGGAUCAAAUUUUAGUUUUCCCAUCUCAUUUCCUGAAGAUACUGAUGGACUUGCCCUUCAGGUACACUUCUCCUGGGGUUUGAAAAAUCGUCUAUAAAAACUGAUGGUUUUGAAAUCAGAGAAGAUAUUCUUCCCAUUUUUAUGACAGCUUCAAAUAAAGAUUAUUUAUUUUAAGAAAAUUUCUAAACUGAAAGAAAGUUCUAUGGCAUAUUGCAGUAUUGAAUAAAAAUGUUAUCAUUACAAGACAGAAUUUUUUUCUUAUAUGUAUGUGGGUGACUUUGAGUUAUUGAGUCAACCUCUUUUAGAUGUAGUGGCCUCAAGUUUUAAGUGGAUGAAGCUCGUAAGUAAAACUUAACACUGAGUUUACAGGGGUCAGAGGAAAAGGAAAAAGAAGAUACACACUGUGCUAAAUAUUGUUAUACACUUAGUUGACGAAUGAACACAGAAAGAGAUUCCAGAAUAAACCUGGAUAUCCAUGCUUCUAAUAGGAAUGGAGGUAUCUAUGUAGAACCACAAAUUUUAAAGGAUAUAUUUUUCCACUUACAUGUAUAUACCAGGUGUAUUUGAUUCAAAAAGUGCAUGGAAGAAGAAGAGGAAAAAAUAACAUUUUAAAACAGGUUUUAUUUUUAAAUAGGUUAUGUGAUUAUAGCCAGAAUAAAAUAAAAGGCUCCGAUGUUUAGUGUAGUCUACUAUAGGCAGAAAUUUAAAUCCAAUGAGAAUUAAUGAAUCAUGUAUAUGUUUCUGCAUUUUGUUCUUUUUUUUUUUUAGGGGGAUGGGAAGCAAUUGCAAUUUUCAAAGAAGAAUCUGUUUGAAUCUCAGAUUGUAUUCUACUUGAAUGAGACAAAACUUUUAAAUGGCUCCAUUCAUUUUUCUGUCAAAGUUAAUUUACUAUUUAUUAGUUAUGGACUGGAAAAUGUAUUUUUCAUGGGUCAUAUCACCCCAAAUAAUUAUUCAAAUAUAGUACAUAGAUCUUAAAUUAAAUGAUUAAGCCCUUGUAAUAUAUGUUGAGGAUGUAAAAUUUAAUUAAAUAAAACAAACAGAAACCUGCAAAAGAGCUUUUAUUUUGUGAAAGGAAAAAUUACUCCCAAUUAAAUUGCAUUCUAUGUUUAAAUAAAGUUUGGAUAAAAUCACAUUGGAAGGAUUCUAUACAUCCUUAUUGUGUUUAAAACCAUGGAGUUCAUUUAAUUACAGUAUCAUAUUUUCUCAGAAAGUGUUAUAUACAGUAUUCUGUGUGUUUUUUGAAAUAAAAAUCUUAAUAACUCAGAUAAGUGUCAUUUUUACUGCCAUUUUGCCCAGAUUUUGUUCAUAAAUGAACUCUUCAAGCAGUUGACAGUCAAUCUACUAUGGUGAAAUUCACUAGAAGUACCAGGCCAGCAACUCUGGCUUUUGUUGGGGAGGAAGGAUUCUGAAUAUUGGGGACUGAAUUCUGUGUUUUUAGGAAGCAGGCCAUUCUACUUUGUGGUGCUUUGGCCUCACGCUGCUGUGAACAUCAUUCCAGCAAUUACAGAGAUUCCAGGAGCACCAGUAAACCAGAUAAAAUAGUGGGGAUUAAAAAGCUAAAGGCAGUGGUUCUGCAAAAACGUUUGUUGAAUUUUCUGGAUGAAACCGAUUCCUAAUUUUAUUUUGUGUAACAGACUUCAAGAAAUAUCUCAUGGACACUGACUAGGUGGUACAAGAUAUUUUACAAAGGGGCUGCAGCAAUUACAGAAUUGUUUUAAAUGGCAUAUCUCUUCUCUAAAUGUUUUUCUCCUGGGACAGCUGAGUGGCGCGUCGGUUAAGAGCUGGCUUGGAAUGCCAGAGGGCCCGGUUUGGA
This is a long non-coding RNA of Hipposideros armiger (great roundleaf bat), 4495 nucleotides long. RefSeq lists it as uncharacterized. The record is from RefSeq and is a predicted model, not a curated record. Lineage: Eukaryota; Metazoa; Chordata; Mammalia; Chiroptera; Hipposideridae. The transcript is spliced from 3 exons.